This 208-nucleotide ribosomal RNA is filed under the name uncultured bacterium. RNAcentral describes it as "partial 16S ribosomal RNA". It matches the Rfam family "Bacterial small subunit ribosomal RNA", at positions 568 to 774 of the family's 1533-position model. The record is from RNAcentral.
CGCGUAGGUGGUUAAUUAAGUCAAAUGUGAAAUCCCCGAGCUCAACUUGGGAAUUGCAUUCGAUACUGGUUAGCUAGAGUAUGGGAGAGGAUGGUAGAAUUCCAGGUGUAGCGGUGAAAUGCGUAGAGAUCUGGAGGAAUACCGAUGGCGAAGGCAGCCAUCUGGCCUAAUACUGACACUGAGGUGCGAAAAGCAUGGGGAGCGAACA